AUGCCGUCAGAGGACAAACUCCUUUGUGAGUGUUGGAGGGACAUUGGGCAAGACCCCAAGGUCGGCGCCGAGCAAAAGGCAUCAACCUUCUGGCUUCGUGUUCAUCGUGAGCACCAUGAACGCAAGAAGUUUGCGUCGUACGAAAUGGAGAGCAAGCGUGGGUGGGUGUCUCUCUCGAAGCGAUGGAGGGUGAUACAACAAGAGUGCAAAAAGUUUUGCGCCACCCUUGAGAGCAUCCAGGCACGCCCCAUGAGCGGCAUCGACAUGAAAGAUAUGGUAUCCAUGCGCCCCUCUUCGUAUCCGUUUUCGUUAUGCUUGCAUGUUGUUCAUUUGUAG
RNAcentral lists this ribosomal RNA (336 nucleotides) under Triticum aestivum (bread wheat). Its description in RNAcentral is "partial small subunit ribosomal RNA". Lineage: Eukaryota; Viridiplantae; Streptophyta; Magnoliopsida; Poales; Poaceae. The record is from RNAcentral.